This is a long non-coding RNA of Denticeps clupeoides (denticle herring), 1013 nucleotides long. The record is from Ensembl. NCBI's taxonomy places the organism in Eukaryota, Metazoa, Chordata, Actinopteri, Clupeiformes, Denticipitidae.
AAAAGAAAGAAACCACCAGCACUGAAAACAUGGGCAGGCGAUGUUUGAAAUGUGGAAAGGGAAGAGGCUCAGACUACACCGUAAAGGUGGGCGACUUGUCACACCUGGAACCCGUCCCCCCUGUCCCCCUCCACGCAGCAGCCAUGUCGGCACCAAUAGGCGGGAAGCGAACCCAUACCUGCUCCAACGUGGUCUUCCUCGUGGCGACGCGGAGGCGCGAUGGAUCCAGAACCUCAGCAGGACGCCUUCUACUCUUUCAUACGAGACUCUUCGAGGCGCACACGCCCUGUGCUGUAGACGCGUCCCAAGACGUUUUCUCUCGAAAUGGACUUAUUCUGUCUAUUGUGUUUUAAUAACAGAUUGUUUACAAUUUUUCUUUUUUAUGAUUUGAGUAAUAAACUUGAGUAAUUAGGAAAUGUUUAUUUAAGCUUAGAAAUAUUUAACUGUAUACAUGAAAUUAGGCCAUAAGCCAUACUUGCUGUUCUUUGUUAAUUUAUGAAGUAAGCACUUGUAUCUAGCAAACAUACAUGUUGCAAUAGAUAGUUUGAUGCAACUCCAAAUGUUAUCAUUUCAUAUAGAUAGAAAAAAAAUAGUACAGAAAGAGCUCUAAUAUUUUGUCUGACUUUUAAGCAGGUUCAUUAAGCUGAUUGUUAAAUUAUUUCAUUCAUUACUCCAUUCGGACAGGUUUAAUUUAGCUUGACAAAAUGCGAUCACCCUUUCUUUUGAAUGCACAAUAAAAAAUGACCUCUGAAAAUGAUGUGCUUUAGAAGAUUCAUUGAUUGCAGAAUGAUUCCAUGAAUUCUGUUCUAUUCUAACUUCAUGCCAAGUUCUGAAAAUGUACUCCAGACUUGUGAGUGUUAGAGUGUCAUUUAUGAUUAUAAUAAAUUCAUUGCUUAGAUUUUGCCUUGUACUUUUUUAUGCAUGCUGAAUAUUUAUGCUGUCACUUGCUCAGUUGAAUGCCAUUGGUUGAAUUGAUUAAUGAAGGUCUGCAAUUGUGUUUAUUUUUUCACAAC